Molecule: ribosomal RNA, 454 nt
Filed under: uncultured bacterium
Lineage: Bacteria
Description: partial 16S ribosomal RNA
Rfam family: Bacterial small subunit ribosomal RNA
Source: RNAcentral
GAUGAACGCUGACAGAAUGCUUAACACAUGCAAGUCAACUUGAACUUCGGUUUGGGUGGCGGACGGGUGAGUAACGCGUAAAGAACUUGCCUCACAGAUAGGGACAACAUUUGGAAACGAAUGCUAAUACCUGAUAUUAUGAUUAUAUGGCAUCGUAUAAUUAUGAAAGCUAUAUGCGCUGUGAGAGAGCUUUGCGUCCCAUUAGCUAGUUGGAGAGGUAACGGCUCACCAAGGCGAUGAUGGGUAGCCGGCCUGAGAGGGUGAUCGGCCACAAGGGGACUGAGACACGGCCCUUACUCCUACGGGAGGCAGCAGUAGGGAAUAUUGGACAAUGGACCAAGAGUCUGAUCCAGCAAUUCUGUGUGCACGAUGAAGUUUUUCGGAAUGUAAAGUGCUUUCAGUUGGGAAGAAAAAAAUGACGGUACCAACAGAAGAAGUGACGGCUAAAUACGUG